RNAcentral lists this ribosomal RNA (492 nucleotides) under Rahnella sp. Z3NS-268. RNAcentral's name for it is "bacterial SSU rRNA". It matches the Rfam family "Bacterial small subunit ribosomal RNA", at positions 20 to 497 of the family's 1533-position model. The record is from RNAcentral. Lineage: Bacteria; Pseudomonadati; Pseudomonadota; Gammaproteobacteria; Enterobacterales; Yersiniaceae.
UGGCUCAGAUUGAACGCUGGCGGCAGGCCUAACACAUGCAAGUCGAGCGGCAGCGGGAAAGUAGCUUGCUUACUUUGCCGGCGAGCGGCGGACGGGUGAGUAAUGUCUGGGAAACUGCCUGAUGGAGGGGGGAUAACUACUGGAAACGGUAGCUAAUACCGCAUGACCUCGCAAGAGCAAAGUGGGGGACCUUCGGGCCUCACGCCAUCGGAUGUGCCCAGAUGGGAUUAGCUAGUAGGUGAGGUAAUGGCUCACCUAGGCGACGAUCCCUAGCUGGUCUGAGAGGAUGACCAGCCACACUGGAACUGAGACACGGUCCAGACUCCUACGGGAGGCAGCAGUGGGGAAUAUUGCACAAUGGGCGCAAGCCUGAUGCCAGCCAUGCCGCGUGUGUGAAGAAGGCCUUAGGGUUGUAAAGCACUUUCAGCGAGGAGGAAGGGUUCAGUGUUAAUAGCACUGAACAUUGACGUUACUCGCAGAAGAAGCACCGGA